This 65-nucleotide transfer RNA is filed under the name Dipodomys ordii (Ord's kangaroo rat). It matches the Rfam family "tRNA". From Rfam's summary of the family: Transfer RNA (tRNA) molecules are approximately 80 nucleotides in length. Their secondary structure includes four short double-helical elements and three loops (D, anti-codon, and T loops). The record is from Rfam by way of RNAcentral. Lineage: Eukaryota; Metazoa; Chordata; Mammalia; Rodentia; Heteromyidae.
GGUUGCUCAGUGGUAGAGCGCUUGCCUCACAUGCAUGAGGCCCUGGGUUCGAUUCCUUAACACCA